This 484-nucleotide ribosomal RNA is filed under the name uncultured Selenomonas sp. Its description in RNAcentral is "partial 16S ribosomal RNA". Lineage: Bacteria; Bacillati; Bacillota; Negativicutes; Selenomonadales; Selenomonadaceae. The record is from RNAcentral.
CACGUAGUUAGCCGUGGCUUCCUCGAUGGGUACCGUCAUUGCCUAAAACUAUUCGCAUUAGGCACGUUCGUCCCCAUCAACAGAGCUUUACGAUCCGAAGACCUUCUUCACUCACGCGGCGUUGCUCCGUCAGGCUUGCGCCCAUUGCGGAAGAGUCCCCACUGCUGCCUCCCGUAGGAGUCUGGGCCGUGUCUCAGUCCCAAUGUGGCCGUUCAUCCUCUCAGACCGGCUACUGAUCGUCGCCUAGGUGAGCCGUUACCCUCACCUACCAGCUAAUCAGACGCAGACCCAUCAACAGGUGAUAGCAUAUAUAUAGAGGCCAUCUUUCAUGCAGGGGAGAUGCCUCCCCUGCACUUCAUUCGGUAUUAGCAUUCCUUUCGGAAUGUUGUCCCCAUCCUGUCGGCAGGUUGUCUACGUGUUACUCACCCGUUUGCCACUAGCUUAUAAAAGCAAGCUUUCAUUCGCUCCGUUCGACUUGCUAUGU